This 70-nucleotide transfer RNA is filed under the name Strongylogaster xanthocera. RNAcentral describes it as "tRNA-Trp". The record is from RNAcentral. Lineage: Eukaryota; Metazoa; Arthropoda; Insecta; Hymenoptera; Tenthredinidae.
UAAGAUUUUAAGUUGAAUAAACUAAUAGCCUUCAAAUCUUUAAAUAAAUUAUAAAAAAUUUAAAUCUUAA